GUUUAGUGCAAAAAGGAUUUUUCAAGGUUGUUCGGUCAGUCUAGUUAAAUUCUCAAGUGAAAUUAAUAGAUGUACAUAUGGUAGUCAUUUUCUUACUUAACCUGUUACAUGAAUAUUUUUUGCUACUUCCAGGCACUUGUAAUACCAUGUCUCUUCUCGAUUUACCCUAUGUUAAACCAGUCGUUUUCCAAACCAUUCUACGCGAACAGAUGAAAUCAGACAGCACGUGCAGACACUUGAAAAUGCCCGAGACUCGUAAAAACCAAUACAUACCUACAUACACACGUACAUCUGAGGAGUCGACUGCAUUGAUUAUCCCGGCGGAGGUCGUCAAGGCUCGUCAUACGAGUUUUCUAAUGCAUCUGCUUCUAAGUAAAUGCGCCUGAAACGAGGAGAGAGAAAGAUGGAGGGGAAAAAAAAGAAACGUGUCCCCAGACGCGGAGUGGCUACGUUAGAAAACGUGUUCAAAUGCACACGCGGCGGCGUCAGGUCUUUCCACCGUUCGUUAAAGUCGUCUCGCGACAGGCACACGAACAGCACGUAGAACAAAUAGAAUGCUGAGCGCCGAGCCCGGUGGACCUAAUCAAAUAGCCGGCGUACCUGUUUGUUAAAAUAAGCACGUGCCCGAUAGACGUAGGCGGUAGUUAACGUUAUGCGAAUUUUUACGAGCCGCACUCGCCGCGUGCUCGUUGAUAAACGUCGGAACGUGCCAAUGAGCACACCAUCACACGAUUAGGCCGAAGGUGAGACAAGAGGAACGUCACCGUCGACGCCAUUUCGCCAUAAGUACGUGUACUGAAAAAUGUAACAUUCAACGUAAGGUUCACACGUGUAUCUACUUGAAAUUACAAAGAAGCUGCCAUUAAUUUAAAACUGAACAACUCAAUUGUGAUCAUCACAAAAUCAUCACAAAAUGAUCAAUCAUCACAAAAUGAGUUGAAUUACAUGAAGUCAAGUCCAUCAACUCAAAUGAAAGAAGAUGAAUGUCGUAACGCAAUUCAAAAAUAAAGGAAAUAAGAAACUUUAUAUUUCUGAAACCAUUAGUGGUACUACGUAUGAUGUUCACAAAAAUG
Long non-coding RNA from Ceratina calcarata, 1073 nucleotides. RefSeq lists it as uncharacterized. NCBI's taxonomy places the organism in Eukaryota, Metazoa, Arthropoda, Insecta, Hymenoptera, Apidae. The transcript has 3 exons. The record is from RefSeq and is a predicted model, not a curated record.